AUGGCUCAGGAUGGACGCUAGCGGGAGGCCUAACACAUGCAAGCCGAGCGGUAUUGUUUCUUCGGAAAUGAGAGAGCGGCGUACGGGUGCGGAACACGUGUGCAACCUGCCUUUAUCUGGGGGAUAGCCUUUCGAAAGGAAGAUUAAUACUCCAUAAUAUAUUGAACGGCAUCGUUUAAUAUUGAAAGCUCCGGCGGAUAGAGAUGGGCACGCGCAAGAUUAGCUAGUUGGUGAGGUAACGGCUCACCAAGGCAAUGAUCUUUAGGGGCCUGAGAGGGUGAUCCCCCCACACUGGUACUGAGACACGGACCAGACUCCUACGGGAGGCAGCAGUGAGGAAUAUUGGUCAAUGGGUGCAAGCCUGAACCAGCCAUCCCCGCGUGAAGGACGACUGCCCUAUGGGUUGUAAACUUCUUUUGUAUAGGGAUAAACCUACUCUCGUGAGGGUAGCUGAAGGUACUAUACGAAUAAGCACCGGCUAACUCCGUG
This 489-nucleotide ribosomal RNA is filed under the name uncultured bacterium. RNAcentral's name for it is "bacterial SSU rRNA". It matches the Rfam family "Bacterial small subunit ribosomal RNA", at positions 19 to 507 of the family's 1533-position model. The record is from RNAcentral.